AGCAGCCGCGGUAAUUCCAGCUCCAAUAGCGUAUAUUAAAGUUGUUGCAGUUAAAAAGCUCGUAGUUGAAUUUCGAGAUCAAAUUGUUGGUCGUGCCUUGGUACGCACUGGCAUUAUUGGUUUCUCCCUUCUGACGAACCAUGAUGUCAUUAAUUUGGUGUCUUGGGGAAUCAGGACUGUUACUUUGAAAAAUUAGAGUGUUUAAAGCAGGCUCACGCUUGAAUACAUUAGCAUGGAAUAAUGAAAUAGGACGUUUGAUUCUAUUUUGUUGGUUUCUAGGAUCGACGUAAUGAUUAAUAGGGAUAGUUGGGGGCAUUAGUAUUCAAUUGUCAGAGGUGAAAUUCUUGGAUUUAUUGAAGACUAACUACUGCGAAAGCAUUUGCCAAGGAUGUUUUCAUUAAUCAAGAACGAAAGUUAGGGGAUCGAAGACGAUCAGAUACCGUCGUAGUCUUAACCAUAAACUAUGCCGACUAGGGAUCGGAU
This 483-nucleotide unclassified non-coding RNA is filed under the name uncultured Glomus. RNAcentral's name for it is "SSU rRNA". It matches the Rfam family "Eukaryotic small subunit ribosomal RNA", at positions 569 to 1058 of the family's 1831-position model. The record is from RNAcentral. Lineage: Eukaryota; Fungi; Glomeromycota; Glomeromycetes; Glomerales; Glomeraceae.